This 253-nucleotide ribosomal RNA is filed under the name uncultured bacterium. Its description in RNAcentral is "partial 16S ribosomal RNA". It matches the Rfam family "Bacterial small subunit ribosomal RNA", at positions 524 to 776 of the family's 1533-position model. The record is from RNAcentral.
UACGUAGGGUGCGAGCGUUAAUCGGAAUUACUGGGCGUAAAGCGUGCGCAGGCGGCUUUGUAAGACAGAUGUGAAAUCCCCGGGCUUAACCUGGGAACUGCGUUUGUGACUGCAAGGCUCGAGUGUGGCAGAGGGGGGUGGAAUUCCACGUGUAGCAGUGAAAUGCGUAGAGAUGUGGAGGAACACCGAUGGCGAAGGCAGCCCCCUGGGUUAACACUGACGCUCAUGCACGAAAGCGUGGGGAGCAAACAGG